RNAcentral lists this long non-coding RNA (744 nucleotides) under Gallus gallus (chicken). The record is from RNAcentral. Lineage: Eukaryota; Metazoa; Chordata; Aves; Galliformes; Phasianidae.
CUUCAAACUGUGAUUAUAUCUCUGUCCUAUAGUUUUUAUGGGUUUUAAAAAGUUGAGUUCUUUUUCUCCUUUUUAGCUUGUUUUCAGAAUUUGAAAAACAGAGAUACAAAGAGAACUGUGGCAGCUGAAUUCUCUUUCAUGUAUGUCCAGUCCAGGUGAAGCCCAGCAUAAUGUACUGUAAUAUGUCUCUUCAGUUCUCUGAUACAAUGACCUGUGCAUCCUCUAAAUCCCCCACAGAAUGCUCAGGCACAGACUGAUUGAGGUGAGAAUGGACUUAAGUAUAUAUUGUUCUUUGUAGCUCUGAAGAAUUGGCACUUUUGCCAAAUGCAAGACGAUGUGGCUUGUAAUCUAUUGAGAUAUGAGUUCAAACUAGACCCUCCUAUACAUCAUAAGAAUAACUAAAGAUUUGUCUGGGCUGUUUUAUUUAUAUAUUUAUUUAUUUGCCUUUUUUCCUCUCUCUCUCUAUAUAUAUAUCUAAAGCAAAACCAAAAAAACUUUCUCACUAUUUCUGACAAUUUGCAGUUUCUCUAGCAAAAGCAGUGAUGAAAGCACCUCAGUGGAAGGAGCCUCUUGCUGUAGCUGGGAGCAUGCGGUAAAUUCCAACCAUUCUCUCAGGCUGAGUAUUGUCUGUUGGCUUUACGUUUUACCUAGAAUUUCCAGAAAGGGCAAUUUCAGACUACUCAAAGAAGAGUCCUUCAUGGAAAUACCAUAUGCUUCAGUACUCUGCUUUCCUGAAGGUUGGAA